This 409-nucleotide long non-coding RNA is filed under the name Malus domestica (apple). RNAcentral's name for it is "long non-coding RNA (MDOM_LNC015633)". Lineage: Eukaryota; Viridiplantae; Streptophyta; Magnoliopsida; Rosales; Rosaceae. The record is from RNAcentral.
UGCUCGCGUGUAGGAGACCCGGUAUGCCUCGAGGGUAUUUUUGUCCUUUUUGUCCAAAAAACCCACGUGUCGCCUUGUGAAUAUUUUUGGCUCCACAAUUGAGUGUUGAAGUGUUAAACCACUUAAUGAGACGAAAACUAAGCUAGGACUUCACCUUUAUGUCCCUAUCCUAAUGGUUCACUAAGUUUAUUGUAAACUAUGUAGUGAACAAUAAACACAUACUCUCCAAAAUCGUUUGAUGUGUAUAACACAAUUGAAAUAAGUUUCAAGAGAGAUAGUGGGAGUUUAGGGACCAUGACUAUUGUAGUCAAAGGAGAAGUCAAAUGAAGAAGAUAAAAUUAACUCUAAGGGAACAAACUUUCUUUAUGAAAGGAUGGACAUUGGAAGGGGUAUUUGCAAGAAAUGUCUU